This 769-nucleotide long non-coding RNA is filed under the name Phascolarctos cinereus (koala). Its description in RNAcentral is "lncRNA (ENSPCIG00000023014.2)". Lineage: Eukaryota; Metazoa; Chordata; Mammalia; Diprotodontia; Phascolarctidae. The record is from RNAcentral.
GUAAACUUUUAGAGAAACUGUACCAGCUUCAAGCUUAGACUCAAUUUGAAGUAACAAAACCUUAAAAAAAUGUACUAGCUGCCUAUACAGAGCAUGAAGCCUGACUUGAGUUUUCUUGCUAUUUUUUCAAAAGUUACUUUGGGCAAGAGUGGCUGUGGGCCCAUGAUAUGGCUGUUUCUGGAUUUCUCAACUUAGGAUGCACACUUUACUCCCUAAAGGAUAGCACUGAUAACAUUUCAUUGAGGAGAAACCCUUGAAUGGCAGAUGACUAUACUGAAGUGCCAACUGAAGCCCAGGAAACGGAAAUUAAUUGUUCAAGAAAAUACACGAAGGUUGAACUUGACUUGACAUCAAAUGGCAAGAUAAUAUUAUGUCGUUAUCCUAUAGGUAUUUCCCCAUGAGUAUAUAAAGCCUAGCAUUUGACCAGAUCCUAUCUAUAACCAAGAAGAAACACAAGAUCCAGUGCAAAAUGCCAAAUUAGAAAGAAAAGGUAAAGCUGCUGAGCAAGAGUUCGUGAGAAAACAGCUUAGCCCUCAUGGACUUUAUCAUCAAUAGUUGAGACUCAUAUUGUUGUUUCUUGUCAUUAAAGAUAAAAUAUCAUCUUUUGUUCAUUUUACCACUUGAAGAAAUGAAGUAGAAAAUAUUUGCCAGUGUUAUACAGGAAACAUUUAACAAAGUAUUUUUCAAUAUUAAAAAAAAAAAGAUGGAGAGUUGGGUAAUGAUGAACAUAAUAGCAUAAAAAUAAAGCAUGAAGCAUAAAAUAACUUCA